This 497-nucleotide ribosomal RNA is filed under the name uncultured bacterium. RNAcentral describes it as "partial 16S ribosomal RNA". It matches the Rfam family "Bacterial small subunit ribosomal RNA", at positions 28 to 507 of the family's 1533-position model. The record is from RNAcentral.
GAUGAACGCUGGCGGCGUGCCUAAUAGAUGCAAGUCGAGCGAACGGACGAGAAGCUUGCUUCUCUGAUGUUAGCGGCGGACGGGUGAGUAACACGUGGAUAACCUACCUAUAAGACUGGGAUAACUUCGGGAAACCGGAGCUAAUACCGGAUAAUAUUUUGAACCGCAUGGUUCAAAAGUGAAAGACGGUCUUGCUGUCACUUAUAGAUGGAUCCGCGCUGCAUUAGCUAGUUGGUAAGGUAACGGCUUACCAAGGCAACGAUGCAUAGCCGACCUGAGAGGGUGAUCGGCCACACUGGAACUGAGACACGGUCCAGACUCCUACGGGAGGCAGCAGUAGGGAAUCUUCCGCAAUGGGCGAAAGCCUGACGGAGCAACGCCGCGUGAGUGAUGAAGGUCUUCGGAUCGUAAAACUCUGUUAUUAGGGAAGAACAUAUGUGUAAGUAACUGUGCACAUCUUGACGGUACCUAAUCAGAAAGCCACGGCUAACUACGUG